UUUAAAGCAUUGACAGGAAAUAGUAGCAAGUUAUUCUUUUUUAGAGAGUCGGUGGCCGGUGUAAACCGAUAAAGGAAAUUUGCGAAUCCAUCCUUGAGCGAAGUACCGAAUGUUUUUUAAACUAGUAAGUACUUUCGGGUAAAACCGUUAUCGAUUAAAGUGGAAAGCAAAUCUAAUUUGCUUUCAAUCUGGGUGGCAACGCGGGUAACUCUCGUCCCUUUA
This 222-nucleotide non-coding RNA is filed under the name Heyndrickxia shackletonii. RNAcentral describes it as "Bacillus shackletonii T-box sequence". It matches the Rfam family "T-box leader". From Rfam's summary of the family: Uncharged tRNA acts as the effector for transcription antitermination of genes in the T-box leader family. The record is from RNAcentral. Lineage: Bacteria; Bacillati; Bacillota; Bacilli; Caryophanales; Bacillaceae.